RNAcentral lists this ribosomal RNA (277 nucleotides) under uncultured prokaryote. Its description in RNAcentral is "partial 16S ribosomal RNA". It matches the Rfam family "Bacterial small subunit ribosomal RNA", at positions 524 to 800 of the family's 1533-position model. The record is from RNAcentral.
GACGAACCGUCCAAACGUUAUUCGGAAUUACUGGGCUUAAAGGGUGCGUAGGCGGCUCUGCAAGUUGGGUGUGAAAUCCCUCGGCUCAACCGAGGAAUGGCGCCCAAAACUGUGGAGCUCGAGGGAGACAGAGGUGAGUGGAACUUGUGGUGGAGCGGUGAAAUGCGUUGAUAUCACAAGGAACACCGGUGGCGAAAGCGGCUCACUGGGUCUCUUCUGACGAUGAGGCACGAAAGCUGGGGGAGCGAACGGGAUUAGAUACCCCUGUAGUCCCUGA